RNAcentral lists this unclassified non-coding RNA (298 nucleotides) under plant metagenome. RNAcentral's name for it is "partial contains 5.8S ribosomal RNA, internal transcribed spacer 2, and large subunit ribosomal RNA". The stretch from base 1 to 104 matches the Rfam family "5.8S ribosomal RNA", at positions 50 to 154 of the family's 154-position model. The record is from RNAcentral.
GAAAUGCGAUAGUAAUGUGAAUUGCAGAAUUCAGUGAAUCAUCGAAUCUUUGAACGCACAUUGCGCCCCCUGGUAUUCCGGGGGGCAUGCCUGUUCGAGCGUCAUUUCACCACUCAAGCCUCGCUUGGUAUUGGGCGACGCGGUCCGCCGCGCGCCUCAAAUCGACCGGCUGGGUCUUCCGUCCCCUCAGCGUUGUGGAAACUAUUCGCUAAAGGGUGCCGCGGGAGGUCACGCCGCAAAACAACCCCAUUUCUAAGGUUGACCUCGGAUCAGGUAGGGAUACCCGCUGAACUUAAGC